Macrobrachium nipponense is the source of this 480-nucleotide long non-coding RNA. RefSeq lists it as uncharacterized. The record is from RefSeq and is a predicted model, not a curated record. NCBI's taxonomy places the organism in Eukaryota, Metazoa, Arthropoda, Malacostraca, Decapoda, Palaemonidae. The transcript is spliced from 3 exons.
UUACAAGGACUCUACAGAAAGGAGACAGAUUUAGUAUGCGACAUUCAUAUUCUUACGUCCUUGAUUCUAGUGCCAGAUGGAGUGAAGGGUUUGGAACUUUGGAAUUUGGAGUCAAUUACGUACUUUUAGAACUUGUGACCUGUAACGAGGUACCAUUGUGCAGUGCUUAAUACAAGGCGUUUGCGACCAGUCUUUUGUUGCAAGAGGAGCGUAAUGGAUCGGGCCACAUGCUGUAUCCGGCUGUAUCCAAGGCUGGUAGGACUUCUAGAAGCUGAAAUCGACGGAGUGCAGAAUUUGUCAAGAGUUGAAGAUUCCCAGAGAACUUCUGUACCUAUGGCAACCUGUUAAUUACAUCAAGGCUGAUUAUUGGCGACACUAAAAUUUCAGCAAUUAUGAACACCCGCAGUUUUGUUUGAAGUAAACAAUUUCUUAAAGCCGGUUAGGUGCACUAUCUAGCAAAAUAUUACAAUAACAAAAGUA